GAUGAACGCUGGCGGCGUGCCUAAUACAUGCAAGUCGAGCGAACGGGCGAGAAGCUUGCUUCUCUGAUGUUAGCGGCGGACGGGUGAGUAACACGUGGAUAACCUACCUAUAAGACUGGGAUAACUUCGGGAAACCGGAGCUAAUACCGGAUAAUAUUUUGAACCGCAUGGUUCAAAAGUGAAAGACGGUCUUGCUGUCACUUAUAGAUGGAUCCGCGGUGCAUUAGCUAGUUGGUAAGGUAACGGCUUACCAAGGCAACGAUGCAUAGCCGACCUGAGAGGGUGAUCGGCCACACUGGAACUGAGACACGGUCCAGACUCCUACGGGAGGCAGCAGUAGGGAAUCUUCCGCAAUGGGCGAAAGCCUGACGGAGCAACGCCGCGUGAGUGAUGAAGGUCUUCGGAUCGUAAAACUCUGUUAUUAGGGAAGAACAUAUGUGUAAGUAACUGUGCACAUCUUGACGGUACCUAAUCAGAAAGCCACGGCUAACUACGUG
RNAcentral lists this ribosomal RNA (497 nucleotides) under uncultured bacterium. RNAcentral describes it as "partial 16S ribosomal RNA". It matches the Rfam family "Bacterial small subunit ribosomal RNA", at positions 28 to 507 of the family's 1533-position model. The record is from RNAcentral.